Molecule: ribosomal RNA, 184 nt
Filed under: Glomus sp. (unid)
Lineage: Eukaryota; Fungi; Glomeromycota; Glomeromycetes; Glomerales; Glomeraceae
Source: RNAcentral
GGUCUCUGAUCGUUGCUCUGGUGCCGAGAGCUUGCUUACGGUUAUCAAAGUCGAUGGUCAAUAGGUUAGAACGGGUUAAAUUCGUUAAGGAUGUUGACGUAAUGGCUUUAAACGACCCGUCUUGAAACACGGACCAAGGAGUCUAACAUAUGUGCGAGUGUUUAAACACUCGCAUAUAUGUUAG